GGCUUUAUAUUCAACUAUGAUUUUAAAUUGCAAAUUUAAAGGUAAAGGGUAUCUUUUAAAGCUU
RNAcentral lists this transfer RNA (64 nucleotides) under Xystrocera globosa. Its description in RNAcentral is "tRNA-Cys". The record is from RNAcentral. Lineage: Eukaryota; Metazoa; Arthropoda; Insecta; Coleoptera; Cerambycidae.